UGAACGCUGGCGGCAGGCCUAACACAUGCAAGUCGAGCGGUAACAGGGGAAGCUUGCUUCCCGCUGACGAGCGGCGGACGGGUGAGUAAUGUAUGGGGAUCUGCCCGAUGGAGGGGGAUAACCACUGGAAACGGUGGCUAAUACCGCAUAAUCUCUUAGGAGCAAAGCAGGGGAACUUCGGUCCUUGCGCUAUCGGAUGAACCCAUAUGGGAUUAGCUAGUAGGUGGGGUAAUGGCUCUC
Molecule: ribosomal RNA, 240 nt
Filed under: uncultured bacterium
Lineage: Bacteria
Description: partial 16S ribosomal RNA
Rfam family: Bacterial small subunit ribosomal RNA
Source: RNAcentral